GACGAACGCUGGCGGCGUGCCUAAUACAUGCAAGUAGGACGCUGAAGGAGGAGCUUGCUUCUCUGGAUGAGUUGCGAACGGGUGAGUAACGCGUAGGUAACCUGCCUGGUAGUGGGGGAUAACUAUUGGAAACGAUAGCUAAUACCGCAUAAUAGCAGUUGUUGCAUGAUAACUGUUUGAAAGGUGCAAUUGCACCGCUACCAGAUGGACCUGCGUUGUAUUAGCUAGUUGGUGGGGUAACGGCUCACCAAGGCGACGAUACAUAGCCGACCUGAGAGGGUGAUCGGCCACACUGGGACUGAGACACGGCCCAGACUCCUACGGGAGGCAGCAGUAGGGAAUCUUCGGCAAUGGACGGAAGUCUGACCGAGCAACGCCGCGUGAGUGAAGAAGGUUUUCGGAUCGUAAAGCUCUGUUGUAAGAGAAGAACGAGUGUGAGAGUGGAAAGUUCACACUGUGACGGUAUCUUACCAGAAAGAGACGGCUAACUACGUG
Molecule: ribosomal RNA, 495 nt
Filed under: uncultured bacterium
Lineage: Bacteria
Description: partial 16S ribosomal RNA
Rfam family: Bacterial small subunit ribosomal RNA
Source: RNAcentral